RNAcentral lists this ribosomal RNA (406 nucleotides) under uncultured bacterium. Its description in RNAcentral is "partial 16S ribosomal RNA". It matches the Rfam family "Bacterial small subunit ribosomal RNA", at positions 30 to 526 of the family's 1533-position model. The record is from RNAcentral.
AUUGAACGCUGGCGGCAGGCCUAACACAUGCAAGUCGAACGAGUGGCGGACGGGUGAGUAAUGUCUGGGAAACUGCCUGAUGGAGGGGGAUAACUACUAGAAACGGUAGCUAAUACCGCAUACCAUCAGAUGUGCCCAGAAGGGAUUAGCUCGUAGGUGGGGUAAAGGCUCACCUAGGAGACGAUCCCUAGCUGGUCUGAGAGGAGGAACAGCCACACUGGAACUGAGACACGGUCCAGACUCCUACGGGAGGCAGCAGUGGGGAAUAUUGCACAAUGGGCGCAAGCCUGAUGCAGCCAUGCCGCGUGUGUGAAGAAGGCCUUCGGGUUGUAAAGCACUUUCAGCGGGGAGGCGUUACCCGCAGAAGAAGCACCGGCUAACUCCGUGCCAGCCGCCGCGGUAAUUC